This 1334-nucleotide ribosomal RNA is filed under the name metagenome. Its description in RNAcentral is "bacterial SSU rRNA". It matches the Rfam family "Bacterial small subunit ribosomal RNA". The record is from RNAcentral.
AGAGUUUGAUCCUGGCUCAGGAUGAACGCUGGCGGCGUGCUUAACACAUGCAAGUCGAACGAACCUUCGGGUUAGUGGCGGACGGGUGAGUAACGCGUGAGAAUCUGCCCUCAGGAAGGGGAUAACGGCUGGAAACGGCCGCUAAUACCCCAUAUGCCGAGAGGUGAAAUGAAUUUCGCCUGAGGAUGAGCUCGCGUCUGAUUAGCUAGUUGGUGGGGUAAGAGCCUACCAAGGCUUCGAUCAGUAGCUGGUCUGAGAGGAUGAUCAGCCACACUGGGACUGAGACACGGCCCAGACUCCUACGGGAGGCAGCAGUGGGGAAUUUUCCGCAAUGGGCGAAAGCCUGACGGAGCAACGCCGCGUGAGGGAUGAAGGCCUCUGGGCUGUAAACCUCUUUUCUCAAGGAAGAAGAUCUGACGGUACUUGAGGAGUAAGCCACGGCUAAUUCCGUGCCAGCAGCCGCGGUAAUACGGGAGUGGCAAGCGUUAUCCGGAAUUAUUGGGCGUAAAGCGUCCGCAGGCGGCCUUGAAAGUCUGCUGUUAAAGCGUGGAGCUUAACUCCAUUUCAGCAGUGGAAACUACAAGGCUAGAGUGUGGUAGGGGCAGAGGGAAUUCCCGGUGUAGCGGUGAAAUGCGUAGAUAUCGGGAAGAACACCAGUGGCGAAGGCGCUCUGCUGGGCCAUAACUGACGCUCAUGGACGAAAGCCAGGGGAGCGAAAGGGAUUAGAUACCCCUGUAGUCCUGGCCGUAAACGAUGAACACUAGGUGUCGGGGGAAUCGACCCCUCCGGUGUCGUAGCCAACGCGUUAAGUGUUCCGCCUGGGGAGUACGCACGCAAGUGUGAAACUCAAAGGAAUUGACGGGGGCCCGCACAAGCGGUGGAGUAUGUGGGUUAAUUCGAUGCAACGCGAAGAACCUUACCAGGGUUUGACAUCCUGCGAAUCCCUUGGAAACGAGGGAGUGCCUUCGGGAGCGCAGUGACAGGUGGUGCAUGGCUGUCGUCAGCUCGUGUCGUGAGAUGUUGGGUUAAGUCCCGCAACGAGCGCAACCCACGUCUUUAGUUGCCAGCAUUGAGUUGGGCACUCUAGAGAGACCGCCGGUGAUAAACCGGAGGAAGGUGUGGAUGACGUCAAGUCAUCAUGCCCCUUACAUCCUGGGCUACACACGUACUACAAUGCUACGGACAAAGGGCAGCAAACUCGCGAGAGCUAGCAAAUCCCAUAAACCGUGGCUCAGUUCAGAUCGUAGGCUGCAACUCGCCUACGUGAAGGAGGAAUCGCUAGUAAUCGCAGGUCAGCAUACUGCGGUGAAUACGUUCCCGGGCCUUGUACACAC